ACUGUUAGCACUUUGCAGUUUAAUGCAGACCUUAGAUUCAUGCAUAUAUAGAAAAUGUACACUGAUUUAAUUUUGCUGUAAAUACCACUAUUUAUCUGGUCUGUUUGCAUCAGCUUAGAGAGUGAGAGGUGGUCCUGCAGUGAGCAGUGCAGGAUCAAAUCUUAUUCUUGGAUUAAAUCCUUAAAUUGCAAGUUUAGAGGUGAACCAGGGUCCUGGGGUUAGCAGUGAUAAAAAUCCUGUUCUAGGAUUAAAUCCUUUAUUUGGAACUUUAAAGGGAGUAAAGAGACUUUUACUGAUAUUGUCAGAACUAUUGGAUUGUCAGUUAGG
Molecule: long non-coding RNA, 327 nt
Organism: Eurytemora carolleeae
Lineage: Eukaryota; Metazoa; Arthropoda; Copepoda; Calanoida; Temoridae
Exons: 4
Source: RefSeq, a predicted model, not a curated record